UACGUAGGGCGCAAGCGUUAUCCGGAAUUAUUGGGCGUAAAGAGCUCGUAGGCGGUUUGUCGCGUCUGCCGUGAAAGUCCGGGGCUCAACUCCGGAUCUGCGGUGGGUACGGGCAGACUAGAGUGAUGUAGGGGAGACUGGAAUUCCUGGUGUAGCGGUGAAAUGCGCAGAUAUCAGGAGGAACACCGAUGGCGAAGGCGGCUCUCUGGGACGGUACUGACGCUGAGACGCGAAAGCGUGGGGAGCGAACAGG
RNAcentral lists this ribosomal RNA (253 nucleotides) under uncultured bacterium. Its description in RNAcentral is "partial 16S ribosomal RNA". It matches the Rfam family "Bacterial small subunit ribosomal RNA", at positions 524 to 776 of the family's 1533-position model. The record is from RNAcentral.